UGGGGAAUAUUGCGCAAUGGGGGCAACCCUGACGCAGCAACGCCGCGUGAUUGAUGAAGGUCUUCGGAUUGUAAAAAUCUUUAAUCAGGGACGAAGAAAAUGACGGUACCUGAAGAAUAAGCUCCGGCUAACUACGUGCCAGCAGCCGCGGUAAUACGUAGGGAGCAAGCGUUAUCCGGAUUUACUGGGUGUAAAGGGCGUGUAGGCGGGCUUGCAAGUUGGAAGUGAAAUCCAGGGGCUUAACCCCUGAACUGCUUUCAAAACUGCGAGUCUUGAGUGAUGGAGAGGCAGGCGGAAUUCCCAGUGUAGCGGUGAAAUGCGUAGAUAUUGGGAGGAACACCAGUGGCGAAGGCGGCCUGCUGGACAUUAACUGACGCUGAGGCGCGAAAGCGUGGGGAGC
This 400-nucleotide ribosomal RNA is filed under the name uncultured bacterium. RNAcentral's name for it is "bacterial SSU rRNA". It matches the Rfam family "Bacterial small subunit ribosomal RNA", at positions 355 to 769 of the family's 1533-position model. The record is from RNAcentral.